UACGGAAGGCAGCAGUGGGGAAUAUUGGACAAUGGGCGCAAGCCUGAUCCAGCCAUGCCGCGUGUGUGAAGAAGGCCUUUUGGUUGUAAAGCACUUUUAAGCGAGGAGGAGGCUCUCUUAGUUAAUACCUAAGAUGAGUGGACGUUACUCGCAGAAUAAGCACCGGCUAACUCUGUGCCAGCAGCCGCGGUUAAUACGAGAAGGGUGCGAGCGUUAAUCGGAUUUUACUGGGCGUAAAGCGUGCGUAGGCGGCUUUUUUAAGUCGGAUUGUGAAAUCCCCGAGCUUAACUUGGGAAUUGCAUUCGAUACUGGGAAGCUAGAGUAUGGGAGAGGAUGGUAGAAUUCCAGGUGUAGCGGUGAAAUGCGUAGAGAUCUGGAGGAAUACCGGAUGGGCGAAGGGCAGGCCAAUCUGGGCCUAAUACCUGACGCUGAGGUCGAAAAGCAUGGGGAGGCAAACAGGAUUAGAUACC
This 470-nucleotide ribosomal RNA is filed under the name uncultured bacterium. Its description in RNAcentral is "bacterial SSU rRNA". It matches the Rfam family "Bacterial small subunit ribosomal RNA", at positions 340 to 786 of the family's 1533-position model. The record is from RNAcentral.